RNAcentral lists this ribosomal RNA (587 nucleotides) under uncultured bacterium. RNAcentral describes it as "bacterial SSU rRNA". It matches the Rfam family "Bacterial small subunit ribosomal RNA", at positions 338 to 919 of the family's 1533-position model. The record is from RNAcentral.
UCUACGGGAGGCAGCAGUGAGGAAUAUUGGACAAUGGGCGAAAGCCUGAUCCAGCAAUGCCGCGUGUGUGAAGAAGGCUACGGGUUGUAAAGCACUUUCAGUAGCGAAGAAAAUCUCCAUGUGAAUAGCAUGGGGCCUUGACGUUAACUACAGAAGAAGCACCGGCUAAUUCCGUGCCAGCAGCCGCGGUAAUACGGAAGGUGCGAGCGUUAAUCGGAAUUACUGGGCGUAAAGCGUAUGUAGGCGGUCUGGUAAGUCAGAUGUGAAAUCCCCGGGCUUAACCUGGGAAUUGCAUUUGAUACUGCCAAACUAGAGUACAGAAGAGGAAAGCGGAAUUCUGAAUGUAGCGGUGGAAUGCGUAGAUAUUCGGAGGAACACCAGAGGCGAAGGCGGCUUUCUGGUCUGUGACUGACGCUGAGAUGCGAAAGCGUGGGUAGCAAACAGGAUUAGAUACCCUGGUAGUCCAUGCCGUAAACGAUGUCAACUAGCUGUUUGAGCUUAUUAGCUUAAGUGGCACAGCUAACGCUUUAAGUUGACCGCCUGGGGAGUACGGCCGCAAGGUUGACACUCAAAGGAAUUGACGGGGA